AUGUAUGUGUGUAUGUGCGUGUAUGUGUAUGCAUGUAUGUAUGUACGUGUAUGUACACAUACACAUACAUACAAA
Molecule: non-coding RNA, 75 nt
Organism: Brugia malayi
Lineage: Eukaryota; Metazoa; Nematoda; Chromadorea; Rhabditida; Onchocercidae
Source: RefSeq, a predicted model, not a curated record